CACAGCCACUGACAUACUGGUUAACUCUGGUCAGUGAAUGGAAUCUUUUUUUUUUUUAAUAUUUUAUUUAUUUAUUUGACAGAUAGAGAUCACAAGUAGGCAGAGAGGCAGGCAGAGAAAGAGAGAGGAGGAAGCAGGCUCCCUGCUGAGCAGAGAGUCCAAAGCGGGGCUCCAUCCCAGGACCCUGGGAUCACGACCCAAGCCGAAGUACACCUGCCUAUUCUUCUUUGGGGUGAUGAGAUUUAUCUCCAAAUAUCUGGCUCAGAUAGGCCUGAAAUUCU
Molecule: long non-coding RNA, 281 nt
Filed under: Mustela putorius furo (domestic ferret)
Lineage: Eukaryota; Metazoa; Chordata; Mammalia; Carnivora; Mustelidae
Description: lncRNA (ENSMPUG00000031817.1)
Source: RNAcentral